RNAcentral lists this ribosomal RNA (3942 nucleotides) under Triticum aestivum (bread wheat). RNAcentral describes it as "partial small subunit ribosomal RNA". Lineage: Eukaryota; Viridiplantae; Streptophyta; Magnoliopsida; Poales; Poaceae. The record is from RNAcentral.
AUGGCGGAGCUCGCAACGGGUGCCGUGAGCACCCUGCUGGGUGUGAUCGGCCAAGAGGCGCUGAGGCUCGGCCGUGUUCGGCACGACGUGCAGUUCAUCCAGGAGGAGAUGGAGAGCAUGGGCAGCUUCCUGGCAAACCUCUCUGCAAACAGCCGCGAGCACGACGAGCAGGUCCGCACCUGGAUGAACCAGGUCCGGAUCCUCGCCAAUGACUGCAACAACUGCAUCGACCUCUACCUCUACCGCGGGAACCCCGCGCUCCACCGGCCCAAGGAAGGUCCCGCCCGUUGCCUCUGGUGGACUUCCUGGCUGCCACGGAAGCUGCUCGCGCAACACCGCGCGGCCGGCCAGCUGAGGGAGCUCAAGGACCGCGCAUUGGACAUCAGCAACCGCCGAAGGAGGUAUGGCGUCGAGGUCAAAACAGAGUCAUCAUCUUCGAGGGCUGGGCAGCUCUGGGAGCCAUUGUUCUUGUCGGCCACACAAGACCAUGAAGAAGAAGAAGAAGACUACUACCAACAUGCUGGUGAUCCACUCAAGGUGGCCUUAUCCAUGACCAGCAUGAGGAUGGACAAGGAAGCCUACUUUCGAGAAAGGCUAGAUGACUGGAUGGGAUCGGUGGUGAGUUCGGAGGUGAAGGGAGACAUAGAGCCGAAUGCGACAGGAUCAACAAAACUGGCGGCCGAAUCAAAACCAUUACUACCAUGCAUCGCCUUUGAGGUAACGAAGGCCGAGGACACCGACCGUCUUGCGCUUAAAGUCCUGGGGGUGGUAGAAGACUAUUUCAAGAGGGCAAAAGACGUCCAAGAUAAGGUAGCUGUGCUACCAGAGAACAAGGACGCUGGGAACAUCAUCGUCUUCGUCGAUGUCCCAACGGUGCACUACGAUAGUGUACCACUACAACCCCACAAGAUCCUGUGCUACAUCCUCGCUGAGCUCGAGUGGCCGAAAGGCACUCCCAGAUCAAGAUGGCUUACUUACACAUACACAAGGGAAAAGAUUCGUGAAAUCAAGGACAUGAUAAGAGGAGUGGAUGUCAACGCAAUACACAAUCUUGGGGAUUCGGACCAGUUGAAAAAUGAAGAAAUCGGCUUGGGCCAACUCCUCCGGCUGCUCAUCUACCACUCAACUAGUGCUGCUGUAUCUGAAAAAGACAAAAAGAUUAAAUCCGGAGUAGCAAUAUUGUACAAUGUCAUCAUAAAAAAAACAGCCAGGAAACUCAAAUGGAAAAUAGAAAAAGGCGACUCAAGCCCAGAGCUGCCUGAGCCUGAAUAUGAAGACAUAUUGAAGACGGUGUUUCCAAAGUCGACCAGCAUCACCACCACUGCUGCCGCCAAUAGUCCCAGUGGCACAUCGGUCGACGAAGAAAUCGAAGAAACAGUUGAAGGGGUUAAAGAGAUGAUAAAUGAGCUCCAGAAAUUAGACAAAUCUGACAAGAACCCAGAAGCUGAUAUUAACAAAACCACAGAGAAGAAGAAAGAAAUCGUAAAGAAGAUUAGGAACCGUCUCAAGAUCAAAAUGAUGGUGCAAAAGAUUAAAGAAUGUCUGAGAGAUGAUCAAAAGAUCCUGGUAAUCCUCAAAUUAGUUUAUGACAAGUAUGUAUGCCAAUGGGAGGAGACCAGAAACAGUUUGAGCCUAUUGGAGUGCCCCAUCACUGGUGCUGUGAUUGUGGCCACAAAGACCGCUCAACGGGACAAGAAGCAGCAAGCAUUUCAAGGUCCAGAGCUGGAUCGUAUGGAAUAUUCUCUUGCUGGCCUCUACCUUGAUACUGUGCUCAGAAAAAUAGGCCAGCAUAUGGAUAGUGAAGAAACCUGCCAGAUUCUUCGCGACAUCUUGUGCAGGUGCGAGUCACAAGAAUUCUGUAUGAAGCUCUUUGCUCAUGCAUUGUAUACCAAACCCAAGAGGAGCAGUGAAGAGCUGAGCAAGUUGCACAGAACCUUGUGUGACCGUGUCACACAAAAAUCAUUGCCCAGUAGGAUGUUCAAGUUCUCCUACAUGGAGCUACCUAAAGAGUACAGAUUCUGUUUGUUGUACCUUGCUAUCUUCCCUCAAGGACGUGCCAUGAGACGGUCAACCUUGAUAGGACGAUGGGUUGCAGAAGGGCUGAUAACCACCAAAGACUCACGCCGGUCCUCUUCAGUGGAUGAAGCCGAGAAAUGUUUUGAUACACUGGUCGCACGGUGCCUUGUUUGUCCUGCCGGCAUUGGUGCUGCUGGAAGGGUCAAGAGCUGCAUGGUGGAUGAGCUAGUUUAUGGAUUCAUUACCACGGUCGCCAUCAAGGAGCGCAUUCUGGAGACAUGGCUGUCACAUCACUUGGCUCGUCACUUCUCCAUAUUCAACGAUGUCCGCCUCCGCAGCUCAGACACAAUAGAGGAUUUCUUUAAAAAGUCAUCUCAGUUCUACAAGCUCAAGGUGCUAGAUCUAGAAGGCUGUGAAUGCUUCCCAGAGUACCAGUACUACCUGAAUGACAUAUGCAGGAACAUAGUAAUGCUAAAGUAUCUCGGCCUGAGGGGAACAGGCAUUACCAGGCUGCCCAGUGAAAUCAACAAUCUUCUUGAGCUGGAGGUAUUGGAUAUCCGGGAUACCAAGAUCCCUAUGUCUGCCACAAGAAAUAUCCUGCUCCGAAAGCUGAAACGACUGUUGGCUGGUCGAAAGCUGAAGGGUCUGAUAGCUAGUCACGUUGACUCAAUUCAAAGCAGUUCUGAUGACAAGACCAAAAAAGUGGAGCUUGUGGAGGUACUGUGCAAUGGCAAGCUUCAGAAUGGUCUGAAGCGUCUGUUGGACGGUCAUGUUGAUUCAAGUCCUGCUGAUUACUCCAGUGUGCAGAUCCCUGAGAAGAUCGAAAAAAUGCUGGGUGUGGAAGUAUUGUCCAAUGUCAAGCCCAAGAAUCAACAAGACUUGGUAAGCAUUGCAACUCUAAAUGACCUGAAGAAGCUCGGUGUGGUUAUCAACAAGGAGAGUGACCUCCAGCCGUUGCUUAAUGCAAUCAGUGAGCUCCUAAACAAGUCCCUCCGCUUUCUGUCAAUUACUCUUGACAUAACCAUAUACAAGGACUCUCCCUCAAAGCUGAGUCUGGUAAACAGCCCCAAGGAUCUUGAGAGCCUAACUAUCAAUGGAAGCAAAACGUGCCCCGAGGAUAUCAAAAGCACUAGCACACAAAUGUGGAAGCUUCUUGAAUCAUUGACUGAAAAUGGAAAGCAACUUGCCAAGAUAACUCUAAGUCGCACUUUUUUGAGCCAGGAAAAUCUGAAGGUCCUUGCCAAGCUUGAGAACUUACGUUGUGUCAAGCUUCGACACAGUGCGUACAAUGAGAGCAAGCUCACUUUCAAUAAGGGAGAAUUCAAAAAUCUCAACAAAUUUCUUGUUGAGGGAAACAACAUGGCUGAAAUCACAUUUGAUAAUGGAGCAGCUAGUAACCUCGAGAAGAUCGUUUUGUCCUUCACCAGCAUAGUCUCUAUCAGUGGAGUCAACUGCCUUCAAAAACUGGAGGAGCUCGAGCUGAAGGGCAUCAAUAACAUGGAGAUGGUGCAUUCAUUAUUUGACAAUGCCAAACACAUAACCAAGGUGACUCUUCGUGAUACAAUGCUGGAGCAAGGUGAUCUGAAAAUCCUUGCUAGCAAUAAGAAGAUGCGCUCCCUAGUGCUCCUGUGGAAGUUUUAUAAUGGCAGUCAUCUUAUCUUCGAAGAUGAAUUCCAAAAGCUCAACCUUCUUAUUGUUGACUCCUCUGAGUCUGACAUAACCAAGAUAAGCUUUACCAACAGGUCUCCUAAUCUUGAGAAGAUCGUCUGGUCAUUCAAGGGAAUUGUUUCUCUGUCCGGAAUCGACAAGCUUCCUGCAUUAAAGGAGCUGGAGUUGAAAGGUGGUGACAGUGUCCCUAAUAAGUUGAAAGAAGACAUUAAAAAACAAAAGAUUAGGCUUGACUAUAAACCCAGGGAUAGGCCAUAA